Molecule: long non-coding RNA, 687 nt
Organism: Cercocebus atys (sooty mangabey)
Lineage: Eukaryota; Metazoa; Chordata; Mammalia; Primates; Cercopithecidae
Exons: 6
Source: RefSeq, a predicted model, not a curated record
CUGAAGCAAAGGCAAGGUGACUUUGCUGUAACUCAGCAGUCUUUUUAAAAUGUUAUCUUCCCCCCCUUCGUAGGUCCUCAGAACACUGCCAUUAAGGGCUUCGAGGUGAAGAUACAUUAGAUUAAAAAUAUAGCAGACAGAAACUCUGAAGCACUUUAAGAAAGCUUGGUCUGCAAGAAAUCCUCGUCUUGGCUCCAGUCGUCAGAAAACUUGAUCUUUAUCAGAGGUGAGAAAUUGCUGUUGAUACCACACUGCUUAUGAGGACUCAGGCAGGUGUCCCGAGAAAUCAACCCGUUGUGAGAGGAUCCAUAACAACUUUGUAAGAGCCGUUGGGAAGAGGAGGAGUACACGUGGCUGGUGCAUGAACCUUGAAAUGAUGAGUGAAUGAAGGCAGGAGUUACUGGAACGAAGGUAGGGAUUCAACGAAGACUUCCAGACAGCUCUGCAUGGUGUUUAGAGAGCAGCCCCCUGUUGAAGCUCUUCUCUCUUUCCAGCCAAUUCAACGAAAGGAACCAGGAACUGAGGAGGAAGGAAGUAAUUGACAUUCAAAGCCUCUAUUUUUAGACACCUUUACACUUUCCUUUGCUUCUAACUAGCAAGGAUUUUUCCAAACAAGCUUUUAAUUAGCAGGUGAGUUUAAUUGAUAUGUGGGUUUCUCAGAAGGGGAAAGGACUUCAGUGUGGAAAA